RNAcentral lists this ribosomal RNA (869 nucleotides) under Modulus modulus. Its description in RNAcentral is "partial large subunit ribosomal RNA". The stretch from base 338 to 593 matches the Rfam family "Archaeal large subunit ribosomal RNA", at positions 1784 to 2143 of the family's 2987-position model. The record is from RNAcentral. Lineage: Eukaryota; Metazoa; Mollusca; Gastropoda; Modulidae.
UUUCUUUGAAAAAUAUAGAAGUAUUAAGACAAGUAGAAUUUAAAUCAAACAAAAAUUGCUUUAAUUACCUUGAUCUCCAGCCUCUUGAGGAUAAGCUCAGAGGCUUCUGUUAUGGCACUGUAUUAUUUUAGUAGUUAUUGUGUGGGCCUAAAAUUAGCCAGCACGAAAGUUUGUUAUAAAAUAAACUAAAUAUCUAAUAAGAUUGAUAUACAUCUAUACCUAAAAACAUAGGUAAGUAAAGACUAGAAUUUUUAAGUUAAUAUACCUAUGCUAGGAUGAGUAUUUUAAUAAAGCUACAGUUAAGAUUAUUUUAAAAAGUUUUUCUCCCAGCUUAUGUUUUAAAUAUUAAUUAAGAGGAAGGAACUCGGCAAAAUUAUUGUUCCGCCUGUUUAUCAAAAACAUGGCUCCUUGACCUAUAUUAAUAAGGAGUCGAGCCUGCCCAGUGAAUUUUUUAACGGCCGCGGUACUCUGACCGUGCAAAGGUAGCAUAAUCAUUUUGCCUUAUAAUUGAAGGCUAGUAUGAAUGGUUUGACGAGAGCAAUACUGUCUCCCUCUUAUUUUUUAGAACUUGACUUUUAGGUGAAGAGGCCUAAGUUAGAUUGAAGGACAAGAAGACCCUGUCGAGCUUAAAAGAAUUUGCAGAAGUUAAUAUUAAGUAAGAUAAAUAAUCUGUUAAGCUUUUUAGUUGGGGCGACUAAGGAACAAAAAAAGCUUCUUAAACAAAAUAAAUAUAUAAAUAUAGAUCCGGUUUUACCGAUUUAAAGAAUUAGCUACCGCAGGGAUAACAGCAUAAUCUCUUCUGAGAGACCUAAUCGAAGAAGGGGGUUGUGACCUCGAUGUUGGACUAGAAUAACCUAAAGAUGCAGAAG